Molecule: ribosomal RNA, 253 nt
Filed under: uncultured bacterium
Lineage: Bacteria
Description: partial 16S ribosomal RNA
Rfam family: Bacterial small subunit ribosomal RNA
Source: RNAcentral
UACGUAGGGUGCAAGCGUUGUCCGGAAUUAUUGGGCGUAAAGAGCUCGUAGGCGGUUUGUCGCGUCGAAUGUGAAAACCCGGGGCUCAACCCCGGGCCUGCAUUCGAUACGGGCAGACUAGAGUUCGGUAGGGGAGACUGGAAUUCCUGGUGUAGCGGUGAAAUGCGUAGAGAUCCGGCGGAACACCGGUGGUGGAGGCGGCACCCUGGGCCGAGGCCGACGCUGAGGCGCGAGAGCGUGGGGAGCGAACCGG